This 522-nucleotide ribosomal RNA is filed under the name uncultured bacterium. RNAcentral's name for it is "bacterial SSU rRNA". It matches the Rfam family "Bacterial small subunit ribosomal RNA", at positions 25 to 518 of the family's 1533-position model. The record is from RNAcentral.
CAGGACGAACGCUGGCGGCGUGCCUAAUACAUGCAAGUCGAACGGUCUUUCUAUGGAAGCUUGCUUCCACUGAGAAGAUAGUGGCGAACGGGUGAGUAACACGUGGGUAACCUGCCCAUAAGAGGGGGGAUAACAUCCGGAAACGGGUGCUAAUACCGCAUAGUUUUCUUGAUCGCAUGAUCGGGAAAGGAAAGACGGCCUUUGUGCUGUCGCUUAUGGAUGGACCCGCGGCGUAUUAGUUAGUUGGUGAGGUAAUGGCUCACCAAGACGAUGAUACGUAGCCGACCUGAGAGGGUGAUCGGCCACAUUGGGACUGAGACACGGCCCAAACUCCUACGGGAGGCAGCAGUAGGGAAUCUUCCGCAAUGGACGAAAGUCUGACGGAGCAACGCCGCGUGAGUGAAGAAAAGGUUUUCGGAUCGUAAAACUCUGUUGUCAGAGAAGAACAAGUUGGAGAGUAACUGCUCCAGCCUUGACGGUAUCUGACCAGAAAGCCACGGCUAACUACGUGCCAGCAGCGGC